AGCACCGAAGAGCGCGCAGGAGCCGGCCGUGUGUGCGCGCUGGGUGCCGUGUGCUCACAGUGCCGGGAGCGGGAGGACAGCCGGGCAUCUCCUGGGCAGAACUAGAAGCGGAAGCUUCCGCUGAGGUGCCGAGCCCGGGAGAUGUGCCCGGCGCGCCUGUGCGGAUGUCACCUGUCGCUGGCGUAGCCCGGCCGCGCGUUACCUGUGUAUGUCUCGUCCUCACCGUCGGCCUCGUUUCCCGGCCCGAGACCCGGCGGCCGCGGUGCUCCGGGAGCGGGGCCCGGCCUGGCCCGGAGGGCCUCCCUUCGCUCACCCCGAACCCGGCGUCGGGCAGGGGCUGCGAGGCACGCGCGGGCGGGUCCCUCGGGGGCCCUGGGAGGCCGCCGCUGGGCAGCAUGUCGCGUGGCGCAGGGGACCCCAGCGGGCGGGACCCGAGGGCUCCGCGUUCUGGAGGGGUCCCAGCCCCGCCACCCUGGGGUGCGCUUCUGCGGCGGAGACACCUGGACCGCCGGCCCCGCUGCCGGCCUGGGCACACCCGGGACCUCUCACAGCCCCCGCCAUGGGGGGUCGAGCACGUGCACAGUCCCGAACCCCUCUCUCAGCGUCCCCGAGCGCUCCGGCCUCGAGGGACGGAGUGUGUGCGUAGGUGACAGUGCCUGGAGCCUCGGACACAACGGACAGGGCUGCCCGCGGCACCUCAGCAUUCACCGGCCUCUGGCCUCUUUCCCACCAUGAGUAAACCCUCAGUGUCCCCUCAAAGAAGGGAGCCAACAGUGAGGACAGUUGAGGUUAAUUUUUUUUAACUAGUAUUUGUUUUUUAGACUAGUUUUAGAUUUACAGAACAAUUGAGCAGGUGGUCCAGAGGGUUCCCGCUGUUGUGAGCAUCUUAGGAUGCCAUCAGGAUCCCACAUAACCUCUAGUCUCGUGUCUCCUGAGGCUCCGCUUGGCUGUGACAGUCUCUCAGACUGUCCUUGGUUUCUGUGACCUUGGCGCUUGGGAGAGGUGCCGGCGGCUGUUCUGUAAGAUGUCUCUCUCUCUGGAUUUGUCUGAGGUUUUUGUCGUGGUUAGACUGGGGCACUGGUUUGGGAAGAAGACCGCAGAGAUAAAGUGCCAUUCCCGUCUCAGUGUAUCAAGGGUCCUUGCCACCAACAGGACCCAUCCCUGCUGAAGUUGACCUUGGUCGCCUGCCUGAAGAAGUGUCGUCUCCACUGUCAAGGUACCGCGUUCUCGCCCUGUCCACACUGUGCCUUGUGGAAGGAAGUCACUGUGCACAGCCCACACUUAAGGGGCCUCUUCAGGGAGAGUCCUAAUAAACUACCUGGAAGUCUUCCACGUGGAGGGUUGGGGAGAUUUGUCUCUUCUCCCCAGUUGUUUAUGCGAUCACUUACUUGUGUCAUGGGUUCUUAUUUUGUACUGAAAGCUUGGGAGGGAGUGUGGUCUCACCAGGUCUGUGUGCCCUUGCGUGUGCACACAAGCGUGUGCGAGCAUUUAGUUCCAGGCAGCUUUAUCACAUGUGUCAGCUCAUGUACUCAUCUUGGCCGUCAAGACACGGAACUGCCCGGUCACCACGUGGCUCCCUCCUGCUGCCCUCUCGUGGCCACAGCCCCCUCCCUCCCCCCACCCACCUGGCCAGUGGGAUCCAGACUGUGCCUCCUCCCCAAUCCUCCAGUGUGGCUCCCCACCCUCCUGGGCUCAGCCGGAAGGCUCUUGGUGACGGGGACGGAUGUGACUCCUGAGUCACUGCUGACCACUGGCUCCGGCUCUCUCUGGCCCUCCUUUGACCCUCCUCCUGGCCUGUGGACCCCUCUCUGGAUGGCUGCAGGCCACCACCCCUUUCUCUGGUUCUCCCUUCACGCCUUGAUCCCCUGACAAAGGAGCCACUACUGCUCCCGCACCCACCUUGUGUCACCUCUGGGCACGCAGCCCGCAGGAUGGGAUGUGUUUCCCAGGAGUCUCUCUCUGUCCCCCUCUGUCUCUGUCUCCCUCUACCCCUGCAUCUCUCUCUCCCCCUCACUCCUGCAUCCCCAGCACAAAGUGGACGCCUGGUGUGAGUCAGCUCCCUGCUCUUCCCUCUGCCUCUCCUGAGCCUGCCUGGCUCUGCAUGGGGACACUGGAUGUGGGACAUGUGGACAAAGGACACGAGACACAGGGACUCGGGGACUUGUGUUUCCUCUCACCUCCUGUCCCCCUGCCCGUACCUGUGCCCUGCCAGCCCCUGGAGCUUCUUCCUCCUCCACUUUGUACCUCUGCAAGUUGGGCCCCGGGAAGUGGUCAGGGCCCUGGGAUGAGGUGGGAGCCCCUGGGGCUCCUGGGGGUACCUCCUGAAAGCAGCUGGGUGUGUUAGGGGGUCAAGGCUGUGAGUUGUCAGUCAAGGUGAUGUUUGGGGCUCCUGUGGCCUGGGCCACCAGCAGGGACAGAACAGCAGGUGACCAUUGGUUUACCCAGUGAUUUAGUCUCCAUGGAGCCUUGGCCCCUCAUUGGACUGUCACCACGGGCCUGGCAUUGCUGUUAUUGUCAUUUUACAGUUGAGGAGUUUGUGCCUGAGAGAGACAGAGUGAAGGAGGCAGAGAGAGGGAGAGGCCGGCGUGGGGGGACCGAAGGAGGAGGAGGUCCCUCGGCCUCAGAAUCCUUGCUGCCAGUAGGGGGCUGGCACAAUGUGCACAGUGAGCUGCAUCCCUAGAGGGUAGGCAAGCUUGGCCCUUAUGGAAGGGCUCUCUGGAGGGCUGCCUGAGGGUGGUGUGGAUGUGGAAGUGAUUGGCUGGGAACGUUAGGCCCUCCAGCCCAGGGAGACCGCUUGUGGGUAAGACGUGGGUAGGAGCAGGAAUGAGACUGGGGUCCCCGAGUCAGCACCCCGACCUGUGUGCCUUUGCUCAAGGGGUGCCCACCCCCACGCUGCCUUCCUCUGCCCUCCCUGUGCCUCCCUUUCUCCUGAGUGCUUGCUCCACCAAGGCACUGAGGCAUCCGCGCCAGGUCACUCGGCCACUUGGGGAAUCGGUGCCGUGGCUGGCCCCCGGGGGGCCGCAGUGGGUGAAGGCCCAUCCAUAAUGAGUGUAGGCUGGACCUUGACCUGCAGAGCAACUGGGCGAGGGGCCGUGGGAAUGAAGACUCUGCUGGAGAAGGCUGGGCCGGGACGGCAGGAGGAACUGUGGAGCGGCUGCAGCAGAGGUGCAGUGCGGCGGCGGGAUGGGGGGUGGCAGUGGGCCUGGGGAGAGAGGGUCCAAGGGCAGCAGCCCUGGUGACCCGCUGGACAUGGGUGUGGCCAGGGGCAACAGAAGAGGCUAUGGCCAUGCUCUGGUCUGACCCAGGUCCCAGGCUGGAUCUUCACAGCCCUCCUGGCCAAGGGCACGGAGCCUCAGUGUCAGGGUCCCUGCAGGCUGACAUCAUGCUGUUUGUAACGAAGCUGGACCGAUCAGAGGGGACACGAGCCAGGUCUCCUUGCCCGGUGUGGGCCCGGCCUUCUCAGCAGGCCUGUCUCUUGUCUUCAUUAGGCCCAUUGUCUCAGAGCUACGUGGGGACUGGUGGCACUUCCCUGAUUAUCACAGCAGGAUUCUGGUUUCCAGAACAGGGGAGCUGGGCCGACACCACCCGUGCAAGCUGGCAAGUUAAUAAGAUUUGCUUCUUUCUCGGAGUACCUGGUGUCAGUUUUGCUUUCAUGUAAAUAGGACAGUUGCUAUUGUCACCCUUGUACCACCUAUCUGUUGCCCCAGUAACAGCAGUCCACCCCUUCUUCACCCCCCUGCGCAGGGGCUCUGGUCUUGCCUGGGCCCUCGUGUGUCUGCCCCAGCUGAGGGCUCCGGGCUCUCACAGAUGUGGGAUAUGUGGGGUUGGCUGGAGGCUGGCUGGUCUGGUGUGGCUCCGGCUUCACAGCUCUGCCAGGCUCCACAGGGCAUCUCAUCCGCCCUGCAGCCAGCCUGUGCUUGUCCUCACGGUGGCCGAGGGUCCAAGACAGCAAGCAGUUGAGCAGACGUGUGCAGCACCGCAGGAGCCAAGGCUGGAGCUGGGGCCCUGUCUGUCCUCUGCAGCUGUGAAGCCGGGCUGAUUCUGGAUUCCAGGGUGGAGAGACUCGGCCUCUGGGAGGGGGCUGCAGAGGUGAUUGAGAGGGGCCAGGCAGAGGGAGGGAGCCGGAGUGGGGUCCACUCUCCCGACCUGGGGCAGCUAGGCUUUGGGACCAUGCCCAGCGCUGGUGUCGCAGUCACUGGCUGGGAGGAGAGGCCUGUGUGUGCAUGCACAUAUGUGUAAGCAUGCAUGUGUGUGGGCAGAUGCAAGCCCAUCUCUGAUGUGUGUUGCUUGCGUUCCUGCUGACAAUUGCCGGACGUCCUAUGGAGAGCCAGCGUCUGAGUCCAGAUGGGGUGCAGGGCAGGGGCUCCAACCUGGAGUCCGCAGCGCCCGACAGAGUGUGGUCUAGCUCUGCUGCCCAGAAGAGACCCCAAGGAUGCUCGCACAUGACCUUGUGCUGCAGAACGUUAAUGGGAACAUGUAUUAGUGACUGUUCUCCACGAGAGGAUCCUGUGAGGACCCGUGGACUCAGCAGGCCACAGUGGGGCACUAACCGAUUUGUCUGACUGGCUGAGGUCGGUGUCCGGCUGGCUCCAUCCCCCCACUGGAGGCUCCGGGCUCAGGAAGGCCUGCGGGACAUCUGGGCCCUGCCUUCCUAGGAGCAGCGGCCUGUGUGGGCUGGGAUCCGGCUGAUGCUGACCAGCCGCCCCUCCCCAGGUGGAGGAAUCUCGUGGGCCCUGAAGUGGAGGAGGAGGUCCUGGCCCGUCACUUUCCCUGCCUGCCCCCAAUUCUCUGUGUCGGCUGGAAUCAGGUUCCAUGGAGCUCUCCUCUCCAGGCAGGGAGUAGUAGUGAGCGAGAGAAUCUCCCUUUUGUUAGGACAUAAAGACUGGGAGCGGAUUUCUUUUAGUUCUUUUGUUUAGUUUUGUUAGGGCUGGGAUCCUAGACAUAAAAUGUUAUUCUGCUGGGAGCGGGAUAAUGGUGCUGCCAGCUUCUCCGCACACAUGGAGAAUAGGGAGGAUCUUCUGUUGUGUGGUCGCACUGAGCAGACGCCCCGGAGCGUCGCCUCGGAGGUGGCAGUACUGGGACGUCCUCUAAGCCCCCGCGGGUGCAGCCUGCUCCUUGACGUCAACACAGUGACCAAGGCCAGCUGCUCCUUAACAGCUGGGCUGGGGACAUGUUUGGGGGCCUGUGCAGAACAUGGAUAAUUGAUUUCAAAUAUAGCUCAAGAUAGAAAUUGUUAAAAAGACACCAAAUUUUUGGCCAAUGGAAGUAUGUGUGUUGUUUUCCAGUAGACCGCACGCAUCUCCAAAAAAUGUGUUCUGUAUAAUCCUCCAGCUGAGAUGGGGAGAGGAAAUCCAUCUCCAGGUUUCCCGGCACAGCUAGAUUGGAACAACACCCCUCCUAAAUCAGUGCUCAGGAAGGUCAAGUUCGAUAAAAAUCUCAGGGUUCUCGGUGAGGCCUGAGUUGCAGAACAUCGAGAAAGCACUUUGGUAUCAUUACUUAAAGUAUAUUGUGUGUUGCACACUUCGGUAGAAAUGGGACGCCUCGGGAGCCUGAAUGGAAAUGCCCUUUCUCAAAAGGGACACACUCCACAAUGCUUUUUUCAAAAACAUAAAAAUCUACUUAUUCCUGAAACACUUUAAUUUUACUCGGUAAUUUCCAGAAGCCCACAUGACAAUGAGGUGACGAAGCCCUGGAACCAGGUUCCAAGUUGGGUGCUGGCUCUUGUGGUGUGGGUGACCCUGGCCGCCCCUUCCUAGCUCUGACCACCGAGGGCAGGCCCUCCUCCUGCAGGUGCACCUGGAGCGAUCGUGGCUCCAUUCUUGAAGCUUGCUUCCUAAAACGCACUGCUUUUCAGGGGGACUUGACUUAGAAAUGAGACUUCAGAGCUCUGUAAUCGUGGUGUCGCACGCCUGCCUCAGAGGGAGUUACAGGGAGUCAGUGGAAGGUGGAAAUCAGAUCCUUGGUUCUAAUCAUGUUUUAGUUGCUUUGUGCCUAGAAGGAGGUCAGGUUUCAAAGUAUUUGCAUAUCGAUGUGGCCCGCCACUCCAGAUGAGAUGUUAAUUCCGGGUUUACUCCUUCCCUGAGUGUCCCUCGCCCCCAUUGCUGCAGGUGCCUCUCUUUAAUCCCCUGGGGUGGGGACGUCUGUGCCAGGGAGGGAGGUGGUGGGAGGCCCAGUCCCGCCUCCUGGGCUCUAGCCCUCGGGAGGGCAGGGCUGAUGGGGUUGGCAGAGGCGGGAGCCUGGUUGGGAGUGAGAAGGCGGACAGGGGAGAGGAGAGGAAAAGACUUCCCCACAAAAGGGAUCCUGCCUGGCUCGGGGAGCAGACAGAACUCAGGGGUCUCCCCAGAUGGUGAUGGGACACCACCCAGAAGGCAGGCGGGAGCAGCUGGACCCCUGACAUAAGGCUCACCUGGGGCAGAGCAGAGAUACCCCUGGUGGGGCUGUGGGGCUCCUUCCUCCUGACAUCUGGGCAUCAUGCCACAGGGAGACCCUGGGGUGACGGAGAC
RNAcentral lists this long non-coding RNA (6503 nucleotides) under Equus caballus (horse). Its description in RNAcentral is "lncRNA (ENSECAG00000052390.1)". The record is from RNAcentral. Lineage: Eukaryota; Metazoa; Chordata; Mammalia; Perissodactyla; Equidae.